GAUGAACGCUAGCUACAGGCUUAACACAUGCAAGUCGAGGGGUAGCAGGGCCUAGCAAUAGGUUGCUGACGACCGGCGCACGGGUGAGUAACACGUAUCCAACCUGCCCUAUACUCGGGGAUAGCCUUUCGAAAGAAAGAUUAAUACCCGAUAGUAUAAUUAGAUCGCCUGAUUUGAUUAUUAAAGAAUUUCGGUAUAGGAUGGCAUGCGUGACAUUAGCUAGAUGGUGAGGUAACGGCUCACCAUGGCAACGAUGUCUAGGGGGACUGAGAGGUUAACCCCCCACACUGGUACUGAGACACGGACCAGACUCCUACGGGAGGCAGCAGGGAGGAAUAUUGGUCAAUGGACGGAAGUCUGAACCAGCCAUGCCGCGUGCAGGAUGACGGCUCUAUGAGUUGUAAACUGCUUUUGUAUAGGGGUAAAAGUAGAUACGUGUAUCUAUCUGAAAGUACUAUACGAAUAAGGAUCGGCUAACUCCGUGCCAGCCGCCGCCGUAAGAC
RNAcentral lists this ribosomal RNA (503 nucleotides) under uncultured bacterium. Its description in RNAcentral is "bacterial SSU rRNA". It matches the Rfam family "Bacterial small subunit ribosomal RNA", at positions 28 to 526 of the family's 1533-position model. The record is from RNAcentral.